GACGAACGCUGGCGGCGUGCUUAACACAUGCCAGUCGAACGGAAAGGCCCUGCUUGCAGGGUACUCGAGUGGCGAACGGGUGAGUAACACGUGGGUGAUCUGCCCUGCACUUCGGGAUAAGCCUGGGAAACUGGGUCUAAUACCGGAUAGGAGCCAUUUUUAGUGUGAUGGUUGGAAAGUUUUUUCGGUGUAGGAUGAGCUCGCGGCCUAUCAGCUUGUUGGUGGGGUAAUGGCCUACCAAGGCGGCGACGGGUAGCCGGCCUGAGAGGGUGGACGGCCACAUUGGGACUGAGAUACGGCCCAGACUCCUACGGGAGGCAGCAGUGGGGAAGAUUGCACAAUGGGCGCAAGCCUGAUGCAGCGACGCCGCGUGGGGGAUGACGGCCUUCGGGUUGUAAACUCCGUUCGCUAGGGACGAAGCUUUUUGUGACGGUACCUAGAUAAGAAGCACCGGCUAACUACGUG
This 465-nucleotide ribosomal RNA is filed under the name uncultured bacterium. RNAcentral's name for it is "partial 16S ribosomal RNA". It matches the Rfam family "Bacterial small subunit ribosomal RNA", at positions 28 to 507 of the family's 1533-position model. The record is from RNAcentral.